UCCCUGGUGGUCCAGUGGUUAGGAUGCUGCCCUUCCACUGCAGGGGGCACAGGUUCGAUCCCUAGUCGGAGAA
Ovis aries (sheep) is the source of this 73-nucleotide transfer RNA. It matches the Rfam family "tRNA". From Rfam's summary of the family: Transfer RNA (tRNA) molecules are approximately 80 nucleotides in length. Their secondary structure includes four short double-helical elements and three loops (D, anti-codon, and T loops). Further hydrogen bonds mediate the characteristic L-shaped molecular structure. tRNAs have two regions of fundamental functional importance: the anti-codon, which is responsible for specific mRNA codon recognition, and the 3' end, to which the tRNAs corresponding amino acid is attached (by aminoacyl-tRNA synthetases). tRNAs cope with the degeneracy of the genetic code in two manners: having more than one tRNA (with a specific anti-codon) for a particular amino acid; and 'wobble' base-pairing, i.e. permitting non-standard base-pairing at the 3rd anti-codon position. The record is from Rfam. Lineage: Eukaryota; Metazoa; Chordata; Mammalia; Artiodactyla; Bovidae.